CGACAGAAGAUACACGACAGCGUGAUACACACUUAUAUAUCUAUACUUUCAUAUGCAUAUUUUAUAUACUGAACAAAUUCUUGAACUUUGAAGAAGGUUUGGACAUCACUAAAGGAUGAAGAUCCUCCUCAUCUUCACCCUUUACCUGAUCUCAGGUCCAGUGGGCUGCUUUGAUGUGACUGGCUACGCAGGAGGCAUGGUUUUAAAUACCAGUACAAAGGAUCUGUAAAAAUAUUUUUGUAAAGAGAAAACAGAGCAGUGUAUUUAUGUAACAACAAAGAACCCAUCGGCUCAUAAAGACAGAUUUUCUCUAUAUGCCUUUUCUAAAGUUCUUCAGGUGAUCUACAGAGAUCUGAGUUUAGAAGAUGCUGGAUUAUAUCAGUGUGGAGAGACUGGAGCGUGGAAUCACACUGUAAACCUGAGAGUAAAAACAGAUCCGUGUUGUUUGGGACCAAAGACUGUGAUUGGUUAUCUGGGAGAGACCGUCACCAUCAACUGUUCCUAUCCAGAAGAGUUUCAGACAAACACCAAGACCAUCUACAAACAGAAAAAUCAAUCUUUUACUGCAGUAAUCAGUACCUCAGAUUCUUAGAUAAACAGAUUCUCCAUCUCUGAUAACAGAAGAUCUAGAGUUAUCAGUGUGAGAAUCAGAGAUGUGAGAGAAGAUGAUGGAGGAGUUUAUUACUGUGGAGUGGCGAAAGGAGGAGAUUCAGUGAGUUACUCUACACUCUUCAAAAAGAUUCAGCUACAGAUUAAAGGUGAGAAA
This 766-nucleotide long non-coding RNA is filed under the name Astyanax mexicanus (Mexican tetra). Its description in RNAcentral is "lncRNA (ENSAMXG00005002681.1)". Lineage: Eukaryota; Metazoa; Chordata; Actinopteri; Characiformes; Acestrorhamphidae. The record is from RNAcentral.